RNAcentral lists this ribosomal RNA (373 nucleotides) under uncultured bacterium. Its description in RNAcentral is "bacterial SSU rRNA". It matches the Rfam family "Bacterial small subunit ribosomal RNA", at positions 29 to 404 of the family's 1533-position model. The record is from RNAcentral.
AUUGAACGCUGGCGGCAUGCCUUACACAUGCAAGUCGAACGGCAGCACGGGAGCAAUCCUGGUGGCGAGUGGCGAACGGGUGAGUAAUACAUCGGAACGUGCCCAGUAGUGGGGGAUAACCCGGCGAAAGCCGGACUAAUACCGCAUACGACCUACGGGUGAAAGCAGGGGAUCGCAAGACCUUGCGCUAUCGGAGCGGCCGAUGUCAGAUUAGCUUGUUGGCGGGGAAAAGCCCACCAAGGCGACGAUCUGUAGCCGGUCUGAGAGGACGACCAGCCACACUGGGACUGAGACACGGCCCAGACUCCUACGGGAGGCAGCAGUGGGGAAUUUUGGACAAUGGGCGCAAGCCUGAUCCAGCCAUGCCGCGUGC